RNAcentral lists this transfer RNA (59 nucleotides) under Sacculina sp. 'Beibu Gulf'. Its description in RNAcentral is "tRNA-Pro". The record is from RNAcentral. Lineage: Eukaryota; Metazoa; Arthropoda; Thecostraca; Sacculinidae.
CAGAAGUUAGUUUAAAUAAAACAUAAAUUUUGGAAAUUUAAGAUAUUCAUUACCUCUGA